GAACUGGAUUUUUUUAAAUCCAUGAAUUUUCUUAAAACAUUUAGU
Danio rerio (zebrafish) is the source of this 45-nucleotide non-coding RNA. NCBI's taxonomy places the organism in Eukaryota, Metazoa, Chordata, Actinopteri, Cypriniformes, Danionidae. The record is from Rfam.